Molecule: long non-coding RNA, 252 nt
Filed under: Coffea arabica (coffee)
Lineage: Eukaryota; Viridiplantae; Streptophyta; Magnoliopsida; Gentianales; Rubiaceae
Description: long non-coding RNA (CARA_LNC004721)
Source: RNAcentral
CUCUUCAAAUCAACUUCACCAAUACACUCAAGAGCACCAAAGGAAGGAAUUUCAUGGAGUAGAUUCUAGUUUAAGGACUUGAGUUGGGUGAUUUGAGCUUGUUGGAAGCUUAAACUUGGAAGAGUUUUUCUUUCUUCUUUGAUGAGAGGUUCGGCCAACACAAGGGAAGAAAAUGGUGAAUUUUGUGAAUUUUUGGAGAUAUUUAACCAAUUUUGGUCAAAGGUCAAAUAGUGAAUAGUAACUCUUAAAGUC